AUUGAACGCUGGCGGAAUGCUUUACACAUGCAAGUCGAACGGCAGCACGGGGGCAACCCUGGUGGCGAGUGGCGAACGGGUGAGUAAUGUAUCGGAACGUGCCCAGUCGUGGGGGAUAACGUAGUGAAAAUUACGCUAAUACCGCAUACGAUCUAUGGAUGAAAGCGGGGGAUCGCAAGACCUCGCGCGAUUGGAGCGGCCGAUAUCAGAUUAGGUAGUUGGUGGGGUAAAGGCUCACCAAGCCGACGAUCUGUAGCUGGUCUGAGAGGACGACCAGCCACACUGGAACUGAGACACGGUCCAGACUCCUACGGGAGGCAGCAGUGGGGAAUUUUGGACAAUGGGCGCAAGCCUGAUCCAGCCAUUCCGCGUGCAGGAUGAAGGCCCUCGGGUUGUAAACUGCUUUUGUACGGAACGAAACGGCGAGCUCUAAUACAGUUUGCUAAUGACGGUACCGUAAGAAUAAGCACCGGCUAACUACGUGCCAGCCGCCGCGGUAA
This 500-nucleotide ribosomal RNA is filed under the name uncultured bacterium. Its description in RNAcentral is "partial 16S ribosomal RNA". It matches the Rfam family "Bacterial small subunit ribosomal RNA", at positions 30 to 523 of the family's 1533-position model. The record is from RNAcentral.